Molecule: ribosomal RNA, 918 nt
Filed under: uncultured bacterium
Lineage: Bacteria
Description: bacterial SSU rRNA
Rfam family: Bacterial small subunit ribosomal RNA
Source: RNAcentral
AGAGUUUGAUCCUGGCUCAGAUUGAACGCUGGCGGCAUGCCUUACACAUGCAAGUCGAACGGCAGCAUGAUCUAGCUUGCUAGAUUGAUGGCGAGUGGCGAACGGGUGAGUAAUACAUCGGAACGUGCCCUGUAGUGGGGGAUAACUAGUCGAAAGAUUAGCUAAUACCGCAUACGACCUGAGGGUGAAAGUGGGGGACCGCAAGGCCUCAUGCUAUAGGAGCGGCCGAUGUCUGAUUAGCUAGUUGGUGGGGUAAAGGCCCACCAAGGCGACGAUCAGUAGCUGGUCUGAGAGGACGAUCAGCCACACUGGGACUGAGACACGGCCCAGACUCCUACGGGAGGCAGCAGUGGGGAAUUUUGGACAAUGGGCGAAAGCCUGAUCCAGCAAUGCCGCGUGUGUGAAGAAGGCCUUCGGGUUGUAAAGCACUUUUGUCCGGAAAGAAAUGGCUCUGGUUAAUACCUGGGGUCGAUGACGGUACCGGAAGAAUAAGGACCGGCUAACUACGUGCCAGCAGCCGCGGUAAUACGUAGGGUCCAAGCGUUAAUCGGAAUUACUGGGCAUAAAGCGUGCGCAGGCGGUUGUGCAAGACCGAUGUGAAAUCCCCGAGCUUAACUUGGGAAUUGCAUUGGUGACUGCACGGCUAGAGUGUGUCAGAGGGGGGUAGAAUUCCACGUGUAGCAGUGAAAUGCGUAGAGAUGUGGAGGAAUACCGAUGGCGAAGGCAGCCCCCUGGGAUAACACUGACGCUCAUGCACGAAAGCGUGGGGAGCAAACAGGAUUAGAUACCCUGGUAGUCCACGCCCUAAACGAUGUCAACUAGUUGUUGGGGAUUCAUUUCCUUAGUAACGUAGCUAACGCGUGAAGUUGACCGCCUGGGGAGUACGGUCGCAAGAUUAAAACUCAAAGGAAUUGACGG